UGCUUUGUCUGACUGAAGCUGUGUGC
RNAcentral lists this non-coding RNA (26 nucleotides) under Rattus norvegicus (Norway rat). The record is from RNAcentral. Lineage: Eukaryota; Metazoa; Chordata; Mammalia; Rodentia; Muridae.